CUACACCUUUUCUCUCUCUUAGCUUAGCCUUCUCCUAUUCUGGACCUCUGUCCCUUCCUCUUGAUUAGGGUUCUAAUUAUGUUAUGAACCUUCCAUGCUUUUAUUUUUCUUUUAAAAAAAGAAUAAAGAAAACCCUACAUAUGGGUUUGUGGGGUAUAUUCAGUCUUCAAUAUCAUGGCUCUCUUUGUAUUCUUCCACAGCUUUCUUGAACUGCAUCCAAAGAGUUCCUUUGCAUGCAUGCCAUGGCACUCUUACUCCCAAAUCUUGUU
This 269-nucleotide non-coding RNA is filed under the name Glycine max (soybean). The record is from RNAcentral. Lineage: Eukaryota; Viridiplantae; Streptophyta; Magnoliopsida; Fabales; Fabaceae.